Molecule: ribosomal RNA, 919 nt
Filed under: uncultured archaeon
Lineage: Archaea
Description: bacterial SSU rRNA
Rfam family: Archaeal small subunit ribosomal RNA
Source: RNAcentral
UUCCGGUUGAUCCCGCCGGAGGCCAUUGCUAUUGGAGUCCGAUUUAGCCAUGCUAGUCGCACGGGUUCAGACCCGUGGCGAAUAGCUCCGUAACACGUGGCCAAACUACCCUAUGGAUCGGAAUAACCUCGGGAAACUGAGGCUAAUACCGAAUACCGCUCUCACGUUGGAAUUACAGAGAGCACGAAACGCUCCGGCGCCAUAGGAUGUGGCUGCGGCCGAUUAGGUAGACGGUGGGGUAACGGCCCACCGUGCCGAUAAUCGGUACGGGUUGUGAGAGCAAGAACCCGGAGACGGUAUCUGAGACAAGAUACCGGGCCCUACGGGGCGCAGCAGGCGCGAAACCUUUACACUGCACGAACGUGCGAUAAGGGGACUCCAAGUGCGAGGGCAUACAGUCCUCGCUUUUCCCUACCGUAAGGUGGUAGGUGAAUAAGAGCUGGGCAAGACCGGUGCCAGCCGCCGCGGUAAUACCGGCAGCUCGAGUGAUGGCCAAUAUUAUUGGGUCUAAAGCGUCCGUAGCUGGCCGAACAGGUCCGUCGGGAAAUCCGCUCGCUCAACGAGCGGACGUCCGGCGGAAACCAGUCGGCUUGGGACCGGAAGACCCGAGGGGUACGUCCGGGGUAGGAGUGAAAUCCUGUAAUCCUGGACGGACACCGGUGGCGAAAGCGCCUCGGGAGGACGGAUCCGACAGUGAGGGACGAAAGCUUGGGUCACGAACCGGAUUAGAUACCCGGGUAGUCCAAGCUGUAAACGAUGCUCGCUAGGUGUGGCACUGGCUACGAGCCAGUGCUGUGCCGUAGGGAAGCCGAGAAGCGAGCCGCCUGGGAAGUACGUCCGCAAGGAUGAAACUUAAAGGAAUUGGCGGGGGAGCACUACAACCGGAGGAGCCUGCGGUUUAAUUGGAUUCAACGCCGGA